GACGAACGCUGGCGGCGUGCUUAACACAUGCAAGUCGAACGAUGAAGCUGGAGCUUGCUCCAGUGGAUUAGUGGCGAACGGGUGAGUAACACGUGAGCAAUCUGCCCUUGACUCUGGGAUAACUGCGGGAAACUGUAGCUAAUACCGGAUACGACACCUUGGGGCAUCCCAGGGUGUGGAAAGAAUUUUCGGUGGAGGAUGACUUCGCGGCCUAUCAGCUAGUUGGUGAGGUAAUGGCUCACCAAGGCAACGACGGGUAGCCGGCCUGAGAGGGCGACCGGCCACACUGGGACUGAGACACGGCCCAGACUCCUACGGGAGGCAGCAGUGGGGAAUAUUGGGCAAUGGAGGAAACUCUGACCCAGCGACGCCGCGUGCGGGAUGAAGGCCUUC
This 393-nucleotide ribosomal RNA is filed under the name uncultured bacterium. RNAcentral describes it as "bacterial SSU rRNA". It matches the Rfam family "Bacterial small subunit ribosomal RNA", at positions 28 to 419 of the family's 1533-position model. The record is from RNAcentral.